UUCAACACCACCCUCCAGAUUUCUGUAAAAGAUAGACAGGAACAUGGGCAGGAUGUUUAUACAGCAGAAUGUAAACAUUUUCCCCUGGCCUUCUUUAAAUAAAAAAUCAAGCAAAAAGCCCCAGUUAGAUCAGCUAAUACUCAAUCUGAUGCGAUAUGCCCGUCUGUUCGCGGCGUCCGGUGGUAGAUGUUGGACUUUUUUUUUUACACAUGAAUAUUGUUUGUGUAAUGCAGUCAUAAUAUUUACGCAGGGACGCAGGAGGAGUGAAGCUCAGCCGAGCUGUGAGCACAGAAACUCGGACUGGGACUUGAGGUCGACUCCUGCAGGCAGUUUAACCAUCGACUGAUCCAGGAUUUAAGGAAGAUCCAGUCCACCCACGCAGUGAGUGAGUGGGAAGCCUGUUGGGUGCCCCACCCUGCAGCGCUGCAGUCCUGCACACCUCCCAUGGCUGCUCCAACAUGGUCUGUCUGAUCCAUAGGAGAGACAUCAAUAAGAAGAGGUGAAGCAGAAACCACAGUGAAGAACACAAAAGAAGAGAUGGAUCUGCAGACACACAGGCCACAACCGGCUCUGCUGCAGAGGUACAGGCUCAUCACGACUGCAUUCUUUCCAUUUUGUUGAAGAGCAGCGUGGCAGAGAAGGCUGGAGUGGGCAGGCGUGCGGCUUUGGCCACAGGAAGCUGUGAAUUCUUUGGAGAAUGGAAGAUGUCUUAUGGGGAGACAUACUGGCCUCCACCCUCCCACUCACCACCCCAAAAUGACACCUGACCCCUUCAUGUGUUUAUAUCAGACCAUGGAAGUGAGAAAUAGUGAUGAGUCACUCUGGCUGUGUGUUUACACUCCGGAGUCACGCAAGGAAGGAAAUCAGCCACGGUCUGCUAAAAGUGGCGAGGUGAGAGAGAAUAGCUGCAGUCCCCAGCGCUGCAGUGAUUUACCUCUCACAGCCAGAAUUUAUUUCACGUCAUCUCUGCUGGGAAGACCUCAGACCAACAGAAAACAGCAGCAUUAGCAGCGCGGUGGACUGUUGUCGAGGAAAAGGCAGUUCUGAGUGCGACAAGGGCCAAAACAAGAAGUAGUCGCUGGGGAUAUGGUGUUUGUGUGUGCAUGUAUACUGUAUGUGUAAAUUGUCUUAUUAGAUACACAGUGUUGAUCACAUUCAGUUGCUUUUUAAUCAAAGGCAGGUAAAACACACGUCACUAGAAUGAAAACCUGUUUCUCCACACAUCCCAGAAAAACAAUUUUCAGCUUGAUGACGAUACAUUUCACUGUGUAAAUCAUCUCAGCUACAAGGAGAGCAUCUAACUGCUCAAUUUAACUUAAAAAUCAAAAUCAUUAAAACUGGAGUUACAAGUUUUUCACCCAACAGCAAUGAUAUGUACUUAUUCAGAUUUUCUUUAUUAUCAUUGGUAUACUAUAUUGAUAUCAAUAUUUAAAAAAAACUUAACUCAUUUUAAUUUCAUUCACAAUUCAAAAUGAUUUCCUGCAA
Molecule: long non-coding RNA, 1485 nt
Organism: Sebastes umbrosus (honeycomb rockfish)
Lineage: Eukaryota; Metazoa; Chordata; Actinopteri; Perciformes; Sebastidae
Exons: 4
Source: RefSeq, a predicted model, not a curated record